Molecule: long non-coding RNA, 1448 nt
Organism: Lolium perenne
Lineage: Eukaryota; Viridiplantae; Streptophyta; Magnoliopsida; Poales; Poaceae
Source: RefSeq, a predicted model, not a curated record
GCUGCGCAUCGCCCCUUUCAGCCAGACUGCGAGAUCACUUCCUCUUCCGAUCGUUCUUGUGCACCGUCCCAGUUUGCCAUCCCGGCCAGCCAGCCCCGGGCGCCUCCAUGAGCGGCCACACUCGCCGCCUCGACCUCCAUGGAAUCUCCUCCGAGCGCCACUCCGACAUGGCUACUCCGGACAAUAAUCUUUACGCUCCUGUCGGUGAUACCUGCCGUCCUAGGGUUGGUCCCCACACAAUCCAAUCUCGCCCGCCCACCCAACGCAUGCGCGGCAAAGCUCUCCUCCGACCGCCACUCCCUGGCAAAAUCCCCCUCCUCCUAAUCUCCGAGCUUAUCGACAAGACACCCAUGAUGAACCUCAACAAUUAAUGUCAUCAAGGGAGCCCUAUUGCAGCGUAAGGACAGGUUGCCUCUUCCACGUGUCCCUCUCUUUGUAAUCAAGUCUAAGUUUCAUGCCAUAUGCAGAAAAGUUUGGUUCACAAGAAUAGGAAAUUUGAUAUCAGCCUGUAGCAUGUGAAAUUUUGCUCUCUUUGCCCUUGGUAGAUUAUUUUGCUAAUACUGCUACCGGCACCAUGGGACUCAGUGCCACCGCCUACUGAUGCUGAUUUAAGUAUCAUGAUAGUUUGUGAAAGUAGCUACCUAGAUACAGCAUUACAUCGAUGGUUAGGAUCUAGAUCAUACCUUGACUGAUGGUGGGUUUUCUUGUCAGAGCAAACCAUUUUAGGGAUUUCUAUAUCUACGAUUCAUGCCAGUGUAAUUUUUCUAUGAUGCAUCAUAUCUACCUUCAGUGGCAUACGUCAUGUAUAAGAUACCAGAGUGUAGGAGAUCGCUACAUAAUUCCGUAGCAGAAUCAUGAGUCUGUUGUAUGUAGGCUUGUUGUGUUUCUCAUGAUCUGUAUUAGCAAAGUUGUAGGCCAAGAUCUCCUACGGUUCAACAGUAAAUGCUGCCAUAAGGGUCACCAAGAGACCAGAGAAUUUCGGGAAGAUGAUAGUGGUGAUAUUUGUUGUCGGUGUUGUUCCAUUCCAUCCAGAAGAGUCCAAGAAAAUGCAGACCGAGAUGAUGCAAAAGGGAGAGAGAUGGCACAUGUGGCAAGUGAAACAUCUCUGCGAGAAGACACUCAGAACAUUUGUGGCAUAGAACUCCUUGAUUACGGAAGCACGCUUGAAUUCAGAGAAGGUCACAACUGUCAAAAAGAGGAAUCAUUGCUUUGAGUUCAUCAUAUUCUCCUUUCUUUUACAUUUCAAAUUAUUAAUUGCAUUGCUACUCUUUAUUCAGGAAUUCAUUAUAUUCAAUUCAAGUACAUUUUUAAGGUUUGACUUCAUUAUCCGAUUGUCGGUGGGACAGUGGUUUACAAUUGCAUUUGCAUAGUAGAAUGGUUGUAAAUGCACUAUGAAUUAAAUGGAUGGUGUCAUCGCUAGAGAGGACACUGGUGUUGAUUUUCUAUGA